CACCUCCAUUUUUAUAUUUUUAUAUCCUUUUGAUAUUUUGAUAUAUGACAAUGUUUUGGCAUUCAAACUCUUACAUAUCUAAUCUAAUUAAAAUGCUAUUAAUGAUGAUUUGAAAUUUGAAUGAGAUUCUUCGGUUUAAAUCGAAAAAUUAAACCAAAUUGAUUUUAUUCUGAUAUUGGCUCUUUUGCCCCUAUCACCACCAGCAAGCUGCGUCGACGUCUUCCAAAUCUGGGCAUCAACUAUCUGAUCUGUCGAGUCUCAUUUGUUUUGGGCAUCAACUUUCUGAUCUGGCGAGUCUCACGAGCCCAUCUCUCGCGACUUUAGCGGCGUCUUCCAGACUCACUCUACGCCAACCUCGGCCUUCUCCAUCUUGCCAAAGCUCUAUGGUUUUUGUAGCCUCCAAUUUCUCCCUCUCUAGCACAAACUUAAUUAGCGACUAUAAGUCUUCCAUUUCAGAAGAAGAAUUGUACUGCUGAUUCUUUAGCACAUUGAAACUUGUGGCAUUGAAAUUAAGGCUCUUAUGUGAAAUUGCAUUCUGCAGCUCAUUGUGUUCAAUUCUGGCCUGAUCCUCCAAAUGAGAUAUUGAGUUUCCUCACAGCAGAUGCAGUGGUAGUGACUCUGUGUUAACUCAGAUUUCGAGCCUAUUCGUGUGACUAUAAUUGAGUUUCCUCACAGAAGAUGCACUCUAAUUUGGUCUCUUUGGAAAAACAGGAACGAAGCGCUUUGGAAUUCUAAUCAGAUUACAAGCUCUGCUUCCUCCUUCCUGAAUCAGUGAUUAGCUGCCCAAGUUAGUGACCAUCCAUCCCAUUCUGACUACUCUUCGACAGUUUCUGUGGCUGAUUUGUUGAAAUGGCACAAGCCUGCUUCGGGAUUCUUGAAAUGCAAUACAGAUGCUUCCUCCCGUCCGCAUCAUAACAAAAUUGAGCAGGUUGGGUUCUUUGUGAUUGGUGAGGACAGCUGAUUAAGGCUUGCUAAUUGAGCUUCUUGGUCCACCUGAUCCGAAAAUCACUGAAGCUCUCUCUCUCCAAGAAGCUCUUAGCUU
Hevea brasiliensis (rubber tree) is the source of this 1042-nucleotide long non-coding RNA. RefSeq lists it as uncharacterized. Lineage: Eukaryota; Viridiplantae; Streptophyta; Magnoliopsida; Malpighiales; Euphorbiaceae. The record is from RefSeq and is a predicted model, not a curated record. The transcript has 3 exons.